This 694-nucleotide ribosomal RNA is filed under the name uncultured bacterium. RNAcentral's name for it is "bacterial SSU rRNA". It matches the Rfam family "Bacterial small subunit ribosomal RNA", at positions 62 to 751 of the family's 1533-position model. The record is from RNAcentral.
UCGAGCGGCAGCGCGGGGGCAACCCUGGCGGCGAGCGGCGAACGGGUGAGUAAUGUAUCGGAACGUACCCAGUCGUGGGGGAUAACUAUCCGAAAGGAUAGCUAAUACCGCAUACGUCCUGAGGGAGAAAGCGGGGGACCGUAAGGCCUCGCGCGAUUGGAGCGGCCGAUAUCGGAUUAGCUAGUUGGUGAGGUAAAGGCUCACCAAGGCGACGAUCCGUAGCUGGUCUGAGAGGACGACCAGCCACACUGGAACUGAGACACGGUCCAGACUCCUACGGGAGGCAGCAGUGGGGAAUUUUGGACAAUGGGGGCAACCCUGAUCCAGCCAUUCCGCGUGAGUGAAGAAGGCCUUCGGGUUGUAAAGCUCUUUCAGCAGGAACGAAACGGUGGUCCUUAAUACGGGCUACUAAUGACGGUACCUGAAGAAGAAGCACCGGCUAACUACGUGCCAGCAGCCGCGGUAAUACGUAGGGUGCGAGCGUUAAUCGGAAUUACUGGGCGUAAAGCGUGCGCAGGCGGUUCUAUAAGACAGAUGUGAAAUCCCCGGGCUUAACCUGGGAACUGCGUUUGUGACUGUAGGACUCGAGUGUGGCAGAGGGGGGUGGAAUUCCACGUGUAGCAGUGAAAUGCGUAGAGAUGUGGAGGAACACCGAUGGCGAAGGCAGCCCCCUGGGUCAACACUGACGCUCAUG